GUUUUCCGCCUCUGCCUUGCUUUUCCGGUCGCCGCGGACUAGGCUGCCAGUCUACCCCACCGGGACGUCUGCCCCCGCAUGCAGGAGGGGGUGUGUCGGCCCAACGGGGUCUCAGGACCUGUCCCUGCUCCUCCAAAGCCCACGUCGCCUGCGGCGCCCCUCGGGUCUGCGCCGCGUUCUCCUUUAGCCUCCCGGGCCUCUCCGCUGCCCCUCGCCCCCAGGCACCAGCCACACCUGCUUCCUUCUGUUCCCGCCCGUGGCCUCUGACACGCCGUGCCCUGGACCCGAAAUGCCCGCCCCACUCCUGGAGCCUCCGGUGUGUGAGAGGCACCUUUCCUUGGGGUCAGGGGCCCGGACUCUGAAGCCGGCCUGGCUUUGCCUGUGGGCCCCGAUCCUCCCAGCUCGAGUCCCUCGCCCCAGCCGCCGCGGGCCUUCACCUGUGCUUUGGGGACGACAGGAUGGCCACCCUCCUUCCCCCAAAGAUUUGAGGGUUUUGCUCCACGCGGGAGAAGGUCUGCCUGUGCCACCAGCCGGCAGCCUUUCACAUGCUGUUGCGUUACGGGGCCCUCUGUGACCUUUCCCUAGGCCGAGGGGUGCUUCGUCUCUGUUCCUGAGAGACCAGAAUUUAUUCUUGGUUUGUCAAGCCACAUCUGUAGGAAUGUUGCCCAGUUGCAGCAGGCUGGGGUCUGGGACUUGCUCCUUUGGCGAAUUGAGAAGUAAGGAUAUAGAAGGCAUUUUAGCACUAAUGGAAACCAGAACCACUCUUAGACCUGGGCAAGAGGGGCCCCAGAAAUUAGCAAGCGAUUAGCAAGCAGCUGGAUUUCGAUGACCUCCACUGUACUUAGAGCAACGGCAUUCGAUUCGUUGGAUCAUUUCAAAGAUGACAUACUGGGUUGUUUGUUUGUUUCUGGCGGUGUCUAAAGAUGGAACAUCUUGAAGCAUUUUGAAUUUGACCUGUGGCUACCCUCAGAUACAAUGAUGGUAACCCCAUGAGUGCUGUUAAAGCAAUUUGACUUAUUGUAGACAGGUUAACACAUGAGAUGCGUUAAAAGAGUUAAGUGAAAUAAUAGGCAGCAUUCAAAGAGCAAAUCGUGGUCUUUGGCAGAAAAUAGAGUUAAUUUUGUAUUUGAGCUGUCCAGUUAUUACAAUUAGAAAACGUUUUAAAGAAUCCAAAAGGAUUUAAAAUAUUGCAUAAAGUUUUAGGAGAAAAUGGUUUCCAAAAAGCAACUGCAUAUGAAAUAAGCACUAAAAUGACAUUAAAGUACAAUGUAAGAAAAUCGGAACUAGAAGCAUUUGCUGGAGUCUGAAGAAAAAGAUUUAUGGAUGAAUGAUUCUGAAACUAACUUCUAUAGAGACAAUUUUCCGGCGAUGGUAGAUCAAGGUGUAGAUUGUACUGAAGAGAGAGAUUCAAACAAAGUGAGUAAUCUACCGCAGUUUUCAGUUUUCUUGGUAAUACCCCAACAACGUAAAAGAAAAACGUAAGAAAUCCUGUAUGGAUCUAAAUGUAAGAAACGAUGAUAAUGGUGAAAUAAUAACAUUAUUUUAUAUAAUGAAAAUAUUGUGUAAUAUUUUCUGCAAUCAUAAUUUUUCAUAUGCACCCUUUCUACACUGUUUAAACAUGAUAUCAACAGUCAUGAUUCAGUUCUACAUAUAACGCUUUAAGAAUUUAUUCAUAAUUCGUUACCACUCAGCAGAGUCAAGUUUCUCCCAAUUGAAAUAACUAAAAACUAUCUGAAAGUAUACUGACUCAGGAAAGUUUGUCUAAUUUGGCACUACUGUCAAAAGAAUGCAAUUGCGUGAAAAUCUUCAUUAGUCAUUCUUCUGAAAUGAAGACAAGAGAAACAUUUAUAGAAGAAAUAACAUAAUUUAUGGAUUAUGUGAUUAUGUAUGUCUUUAUUACCCAUCCAAGCAUUAGUGGCCCAUCAACAUAAUACCUAGAGAUACACAAUAAAAAUUAGCUAUCUUUAAUAUUUUGCCAAUUUUCAGCUAUAUUAAAACCAUAGUUUUACACAUAUGAAGACUGUGAAAGAAAAUCUGAAAAUCAGAAGGAAUUGAAUGCAGAUGAAAAUCUAGAGCUAAAAUAUUGCUAAUAGCAGCAAAAGGGGGUA
Molecule: long non-coding RNA, 2108 nt
Filed under: Homo sapiens (human)
Lineage: Eukaryota; Metazoa; Chordata; Mammalia; Primates; Hominidae
Description: HSALNT0278907
Source: RNAcentral